Molecule: long non-coding RNA, 944 nt
Organism: Impatiens glandulifera
Lineage: Eukaryota; Viridiplantae; Streptophyta; Magnoliopsida; Ericales; Balsaminaceae
Exons: 3
Source: RefSeq, a predicted model, not a curated record
GUUUUGCUACCAUGAGAUUACGAUCAAAAUGCACCGCAGCUUCAUCUUCUUCUUCAUUGUUUUCUGCUGAUUUUGUCAUUUCGUCUCUGCAUUUCUCGAAUUUCACCUUCCAGAAGCACCACCAGUUGGCUUCUCUUCCGUCGAGUUCUAUGAUCGGCUGGCUGACCACGAUCGGCAGAUAGAACGAACGCCACUCAGUUUCUCCGACGGAAAUCCCACUCUUCGCAUCAGCUCUUUCCUUCUCUCGGAUUUCUGCAUUGCUCAGCUGUCUCUCUGAGAACGAAGACCUGGGAUAAAUUUAUCGGUAGCUAGUCUUGAUAGAUACUGGCAGGAUAAAGGUACUCUUGACAAAGCUUAUCAUGCCUUCCCUUCCAAGUUCCAAUCCAUGACUAAUUAUUUCCAACAUCUGGUGAGAUCUCUCCAUUUCUCUAUCAUUUUUGUGUCCUCUAUUAUUAUCAUAUCACUUUUUCUAUUUGUGUGAAAAUGUUUUUAUGGAAACAUAUUUUACUUUGCAAAAAAAAUUCAGAUGGAGUUCCUCACUUGAUGUUUUUCUUUUCGUGUAAGAAGAGUCUCACAACGUUCUAACCUAAAUUCAGACACUGAAAGCAACACCUCAUAUUGAUGACUUGUUAAUUUGUUCUUGGGGGGCAGUCUUGCCGUUUCAGAUAUGCUCUUUCUACUUUUGAAGAAAAAAAAAAGAGGGUUUUCUUAGACAUGCUCUUUCUACUGUGUCAAAAUAUGUCCUAACGAUUUCACUGCCUAGCUACUUGAGCCCAAACCUUUUCAAUUUGAGGCCUUCUUAGCAAAAGGGGUAAGGUGUGUAAUAGUUGAAGAAGGUGAAAGUAAAGCUUAUAAUUAUAGAAAAAUAUUGAAUUCAGUUUCUAGCUCCAAUGGCAACUACACCUUCUGAUAUUGCAUGCCAAUCUAGUUAACCUUCUUCAGCU